Oncorhynchus tshawytscha (Chinook salmon) is the source of this 610-nucleotide long non-coding RNA. The record is from Ensembl. Lineage: Eukaryota; Metazoa; Chordata; Actinopteri; Salmoniformes; Salmonidae.
AGAGAGAAAAGAAUGGGUAGAGGACAGGAGGGAGACGAAAGAGAAGAGAGAUGGGUAGAGGACAGGAGGGAGACGAAAGAGAAGAGAGAUGGGUAGAGGACAGGAGGGAGACGAAAGAGAAGAGAGAUGGGUAGAGGACAGGAGGGAGACGAAAGAGAAGAGAGAUGGGUAGAGGACAGGAGGGAGACGAAAGAGAAGAGAGAUGGGUAGAGGACAGGAGGGAGACGAAAGAGAAGAGAGAUGGGUAGAGGACAGGAGGGAGACGAAAGAGAAGAGAGAUGGGUAGAGGGCAAGAUUCAUCCGUGGGCCGGUCGUCUGAGCAGAUGGUCGAGGGGCCGAAACGUUAUUAUAAUAAUAACAAAAAUGUGUACCCAGUAGACUGUCCCCCCCCCAGUAAGACCGAGAAGAGACCGUCCCCAGUAAGGCAGAGAAGAGACCGUCCCCCAGUAAGGCAGAGAAGAGACCGUCCCCCAGUAAGGCAGAGAAGAGACCGUCCCCCAGUAAGGCAGAGAAGAGACCGUCCCCCCAUAAGACAGAGAAGAGACCGUCCCCCAGUAAGACAGAGAAGAGACCGUCCCCCAGUAAGACAGAGAAGAGACCGUCCCCCAGA